RNAcentral lists this ribosomal RNA (636 nucleotides) under uncultured bacterium. Its description in RNAcentral is "bacterial SSU rRNA". It matches the Rfam family "Bacterial small subunit ribosomal RNA", at positions 61 to 691 of the family's 1533-position model. The record is from RNAcentral.
GUCGAGCGGUAGAGAGAAGCUUGCUUCUCUUGAGAGCGGCGGACGGGUGAGUAAUGCCUAGGAAUCUGCCUGGUAGUGGGGGAUAACGUUCGGAAACGGACGCUAAUACCGCAUACGUCCUACGGGAGAAAGCAGGGGACCUUCGGGCCUUGCGCUAUCAGAUGAGCCUAGGUCGGAUUAGCUAGUUGGUGGGGUAAUGGCUCACCAAGGCGACGAUCCGUAACUGGUCUGAGAGGAUGAUCAGUCACACUGGAACUGAGACACCGUCCAGACUCCUACGGGAGGCAGCAAUGGGGAAUAUUGGACAAUGGGCGAAAGCCUGAUCCAGCCAUGCCGCGUGUGUGAAGAAGGUCUUCGGAUUGUAAAGCACUUUUAGUUGGGACGCCGGGCAGUUGCCUAAUACGUAACUGUUUUGAAAAAAACCCACUUAUUAAGCACCGGCUGGGUGUGACACAGCAGCCGCGGUAAUACAGAGGGUGCAAGCGUUAAUCGGAAUUACUGGGCGUAAAGCGCGCGUAGGUGGUUUGUUAAGUUGGAUGUGAAAUCCCCGGGCUCAACCUGGGAACUGCAUUCAAAACUGACUGACUAGAGUAUGGUAGAGGGUGGUGGAAUUUCCUGUGUAGCGGUGAAAUGCGU